CCGACCUUAGCUCAGCUGGUAGAGCGGAGGACUGUAGUUAGUCAAGCAGAUGAUCCUUAGGUCACUGGUUCAAAUCCGGCAGGUCGGA
RNAcentral lists this transfer RNA (88 nucleotides) under Beta vulgaris subsp. vulgaris (sugar beet). Its description in RNAcentral is "tRNA tRNA-Tyr". It matches the Rfam family "tRNA". Rfam says of the family: Transfer RNA (tRNA) molecules are approximately 80 nucleotides in length. The record is from Rfam by way of RNAcentral. Lineage: Eukaryota; Viridiplantae; Streptophyta; Magnoliopsida; Caryophyllales; Amaranthaceae.